RNAcentral lists this ribosomal RNA (231 nucleotides) under uncultured bacterium. Its description in RNAcentral is "partial 16S ribosomal RNA". It matches the Rfam family "Bacterial small subunit ribosomal RNA", at positions 107 to 334 of the family's 1533-position model. The record is from RNAcentral.
CGCGUAACACGUGGGCAACCUGCCCCGAAGCGGGGGACAACGGCUUGAAAGAGCCGCUAAUACCGCAUGUGCAUCUUAUCCGGCAUCGGGUGAUAUGCAAAGGCCUUCGGGUCGCUUCGGGAUGGGCCCGCGGCCUAUCAGCUAGUUGGGGGGGUAACGGCCCACCAAGGCUUCGACGGGUAGCUGGUCUGAGAGGACGACCAGCCACACUGGCACUGCGACACGGGCCAG